RNAcentral lists this ribosomal RNA (377 nucleotides) under uncultured bacterium. RNAcentral describes it as "bacterial SSU rRNA". It matches the Rfam family "Bacterial small subunit ribosomal RNA", at positions 521 to 896 of the family's 1533-position model. The record is from RNAcentral.
UAAUACGAAGGUGGCAAGCGUUACUCGGAAUUACUAGGCGUAAAGCGCAGGUAGGUGGUUGGAUAAGUCUGUUAUGAAAUCUCCCGGCUUAACUGGGAGCGGUUAAUGGAUACUGUCCGGCUCGAGUGUGGGAGAGGUAACUGGAAUUCCAGGUGUAGCGGUGAAAUGCGUAGAUAUCUGGAGGAACACCAAUGGCGAAAGCAGGUUACUGGCCCAAUACUGACACUGAGCUGCGAAAGCUAGGGGAGCAAACAGGAUUAGAUACCCUGGUAGUCCUAGCCAUAAACGAUGUAGACCAGAUGUGGGGGGUAUCGACCCCCUCCGUGUCGACGCUAACGCAUUAAGUCUACCGCCUGGGGAGUACGGCCGCAAGGUUG